GGAGUCGUGGCCGAGUGGCCGAAGGCGCUGCCCUGCUAAGGCAGAUCGGGGAAACCCGACGAGGGUUCAAAUCCCUCCGACUCCG
Molecule: transfer RNA, 85 nt
Filed under: Actinoplanes sp. SE50/110
Lineage: Bacteria; Bacillati; Actinomycetota; Actinomycetes; Micromonosporales; Micromonosporaceae
Rfam family: tRNA
About the family: Transfer RNA (tRNA) molecules are approximately 80 nucleotides in length. Their secondary structure includes four short double-helical elements and three loops (D, anti-codon, and T loops).
Source: Rfam by way of RNAcentral